Molecule: long non-coding RNA, 530 nt
Organism: Xenia sp. Carnegie-2017
Lineage: Eukaryota; Metazoa; Cnidaria; Anthozoa; Malacalcyonacea; Xeniidae
Exons: 5
Source: RefSeq, a predicted model, not a curated record
AGAGUGGAAGAUGAAGAGAGACUACAAAAGGAAAUAAAUGAGUAUUUUUCACAUGGGACUAUCUUACCAUCGCCAUGGACACCAGACAUCAAACAUGUGACAUUUUCUCCCCAUCCUCCUUCUACUGCAUAUAUAAGUGGAGAUGAGGACUGUGCAAGUUACAACUCUAAUUAUUCACCAUCGAAGAAUAUCAUGAUGAAAAAGAACAUUGUGCAUGCUGGUUGUCAAACGUCAUUGACAUUUCCACCCUUGUUUGAUUUGAGUAAGAUUGUUGGUGAGAAAAAUACUUUAAAAGAUUGUGAAUAAACGUUGAAUUGUGUUACAUUGAAAAGUAAUUUUAGAUUCAGGAUUUUAUUCCUACAUGGAAGACGAAGGGAGCUCACGUGACAUGAAUGUUUCGUCAUUACGUCGUAAAUUAUUCAGUCCCGAUGAACAUAGUUCUCCACACAGAUCACAUGAUCAUCCACGAUGCCUUCCUAUGAGAUCCAUUCUUAAGAGUCCCAGUCCUUCGAUUUUGGUGAGAAGCAGAG